UACGGAGGAUCCAAGCGUUAUCCGGAUUUAUUGGGUUUAAAGGGUGCGCAGGCGGAAUGAUAAGUCAGUGGUGAAAUUCUACGGCUCAACUGUAGGACUGCCAUUGAUACUGUUGUUCUUGAGUAUAUUUGAAGUGGGCGGAAUGUGUCAUGUAGCGGUGAAAUGCUUAGAGAUGACACAGAACACCAAUUGCGUAGGCAGCUCACUAAACUAUAACUGACGCUCAGGCACGAAAGCGUGGGGAU
This 245-nucleotide ribosomal RNA is filed under the name uncultured bacterium. RNAcentral's name for it is "partial 16S ribosomal RNA". It matches the Rfam family "Bacterial small subunit ribosomal RNA", at positions 524 to 768 of the family's 1533-position model. The record is from RNAcentral.